UUAAAAUCAGUGAUUGAGAAAUAGUAUAUUUUCUGAAAGUAUCAAAGAGAGUUAGCGCUUGGUGAAAGCUAAUAUAUAAGUAGGAUUAUAGAAUGGGCUCAUGAGAGGAAGCCGAAAAUUGUAGUAGGUAACCCGUAUACCUUACGUUAAAAAGGUUAGAGUAUUUUGUUGUACUUGAAUAAAGUGGAUUAGUUUUUACUAUUCAAUUGAGGUGGUACCACGGUUUAUAAUCGCCCUCUAU
RNAcentral lists this non-coding RNA (241 nucleotides) under Clostridium cavendishii. RNAcentral describes it as "T-box sequence". It matches the Rfam family "T-box leader". From Rfam's summary of the family: Uncharged tRNA acts as the effector for transcription antitermination of genes in the T-box leader family. T-boxes are found upstream of many aminoacyl-tRNA synthetase genes and some amino acid biosynthetic genes usually in Gram-positive bacteria. The record is from RNAcentral. Lineage: Bacteria; Bacillati; Bacillota; Clostridia; Eubacteriales; Clostridiaceae.